Molecule: ribosomal RNA, 400 nt
Filed under: phytoplankton environmental sample
Lineage: Eukaryota
Description: partial small subunit ribosomal RNA
Rfam family: Eukaryotic small subunit ribosomal RNA
Source: RNAcentral
AGCUCCAAUAGCGUAUAUUAAAGUUGCUGCAGUUAAAAAGCUCGUAGUUGGAUUUGUGGGAUGGCCGUCCGGCGGGGGGCCUUUCAUGGUCCCGUUUGUCCUGGUUUUCGGCCUUCCCUUUCUCGGGUCUAGCGUAUUGGCUGGCAUUAGGUUGUCGGCCACUUCGCGCCCGUCGUUUACUGUGAAAAAAUUAGAGUGUUCAAAGCAGGCUUAGGCCGUUGGAUACAUUAGCAUGGAAUAAUGGAAUAGGACUACGGUCCCUAUUUCGUUGGUUUGACGGACCGAAGUAAUGAUUAAGAGGGACAAUUGGGGGCAUCCGUAUUUCGUAGUCAGAGGUGAAAUUCUUGGACCUACGAAAGACGAACAACUGCGAAAGCAUUUGCCAAGAGUGUUUUCAUUA